GAGUUUGAUCGUGGCUCAGAUUGAACGCUGGCGGCAGGCCUAACACAUGCAAGUCGAGCGGAUGACGGGAGCUUGCUCCUUGAUUCAGCGGCGGACGGGUGAGUAAUGCCUAGGAAUCUGCCUGGUAGUGGGGGACAACGUUUCGAAAGGAACGCUAAUACCGCAUACGUCCUACGGGAGAAAGCAGGGGACCUUCGGGCCUUGCGCUAUCAGAUGAGCCUAGGUCGGAUUAGCUAGUUGGUGGGGUAAUGGCUCACCAAGGCGACGAUCCGUAACUGGUCUGAGAGGAUGAUCAGUCACACUGGAACUGAGACACGGUCCAGACUCCUACGGGAGGCAGCAGUGGGGAAUAUUGGACAAUGGGCGAAAGCCUGAUCCAGCCAUACCGCGUGUGUGAAGAAGGUCUUCGGAUUGUAAAGCACUUUAAGUUGGGAGGAAGGGCAGUAAGUUAAUACCUUGCUGUUUUGACGUUACCGACUAGAAUAAGCACCGGCUAACUCUGUGCCAGCAGCCGACC
Molecule: ribosomal RNA, 517 nt
Filed under: bacterium enrichment culture clone ALO1_GLFRUDD03FVON6
Lineage: Bacteria
Description: bacterial SSU rRNA
Rfam family: Bacterial small subunit ribosomal RNA
Source: RNAcentral